RNAcentral lists this ribosomal RNA (903 nucleotides) under Acrodictys fluminicola. RNAcentral's name for it is "partial large subunit ribosomal RNA". It matches the Rfam family "Eukaryotic large subunit ribosomal RNA", at positions 92 to 1030 of the family's 3401-position model. The record is from RNAcentral. Lineage: Eukaryota; Fungi; Ascomycota; Sordariomycetes.
AGUGAAGCGGCAACAGCUCAAAUUUGAAAUCUGGCCCCAGGCCCGAGUUGUAAUUUGUAGAGGAUGCUUUUGGUGCGGUGCCUUCUGAGUUCCCUGGAACGGGACGCCAGAGAGGGUGAGAGCCCCGUAUAGUUGGACACCUAGCCUCUGUAAAGCUCCUUCGACGAGUCGAGUAGUUUGGGAAUGCUGCUCUAAAUGGGAGGUAAAUUUCUUCUAAAGCUAAAUACCGGCUGGAGACCGAUAGCGCACAAGUAGAGUGAUCGAAAGAUGAAAAGCACUUUGAAAAGAGGGUUAAACAGCACGUGAAAUUGUUGAAAGGGAAGCGCUUGUGACCAGACUUGUGCCCAGCUAAUCAUCCGGCGUUCUCGCCGGUGCACUUGGCUGGGUCCAGGCCAGCAUCGGUUUUCCUAGGGGGAUAAAAGCGCUGGGAACGUAGCUCCCUCGGGAGUGUUAUAGCCCGGCGCACAAUACCUCUGGGGGGACCGAGGACCGCGCAUUGCAAGGAUGCUGGCGUAAUGGUCAUCAGCGACCCGUCUUGAAACACGGACCAAGGAGUCAAGCAUUAGGGCGAGUGUUUGGGUGUUAAACCCGCACGCGUAAUGAAAGUGAAUGCCGGUGAGAGCUUCGGCGCAUCAUCGACCGAUCCUGAUGUAUUCGGAUGGAUUUGAGUAAGAGCCUUACCGCUUGGACCCGAAAGAUGGUGAACUAUGCUUGUAUAGGGUGAAGCCAGAGGAAACUCUGGUGGAGGCUCGCAGCGGUUCUGACGUGCAAAUCGAUCGUCAAAUAUGAGCAUGGGGGCGAAAGACUAAUCGAACCAUCUAGUAGCUGGUUACCGCCGAAGUUUCCCUCAGGAUAGCAGUGUUGUUUUCAGUUUUAUGAGGUAAAGCGAAUGAUUAGGGACUC